GACGAACGCUGGCGGCGUGCCUAAUACAUGCAAGUCGAGCGGACGGAUGGGAGCUUGCUCCCAGACCGUCAGCGGCGGACGGGUGAGUAACCCGUGGGCAACCUGCCUGUAAGACUGGGAUAACUCCGGGAAACCGGGGCUAAUACCGGAUAACUCUUUCCCUCCCCUGAGGGAAAGCUGAAAGAUGGCAUCUCGCUAUCACUUACAGCUGGGCCCGCGGCGCAUUAGCUAGUUGGUGAGGUAACGGCUCACCAAGGCGACGAUGCGUAGCCGACCUGAGAGGGUGAUCGGCCACACUGGGACUGAGACACGGCCCAGACUCCUACGGGAGGCAGCAGUAGGGAAUCUUCCGCAAUGGACGAAAGUCUGACGGAGCAACGCCGCGUGAGUGAUGAAGGUUUUCGGAUCGUAAAACUCUGUUGUCAGGGAAGAACAAGUACCGGAGUAACUGCCGGUACCUUGACGGUACCUGACCAGAAAGCCACGGCUAACUACGUG
RNAcentral lists this ribosomal RNA (498 nucleotides) under uncultured bacterium. RNAcentral's name for it is "partial 16S ribosomal RNA". It matches the Rfam family "Bacterial small subunit ribosomal RNA", at positions 28 to 507 of the family's 1533-position model. The record is from RNAcentral.